UGUAGCUUAGUGGUAGAGUGCUUGUCUGGCAUGCAGGAAACUCUGGGUUUGAUCCCUAGCA
RNAcentral lists this transfer RNA (61 nucleotides) under Ictidomys tridecemlineatus (thirteen-lined ground squirrel). RNAcentral describes it as "Spermophilus tridecemlineatus (thirteen-lined ground squirrel) tRNA". It matches the Rfam family "tRNA", at positions 6 to 65 of the family's 71-position model. From Rfam's summary of the family: Transfer RNA (tRNA) molecules are approximately 80 nucleotides in length. Their secondary structure includes four short double-helical elements and three loops (D, anti-codon, and T loops). Further hydrogen bonds mediate the characteristic L-shaped molecular structure. tRNAs have two regions of fundamental functional importance: the anti-codon, which is responsible for specific mRNA codon recognition, and the 3' end, to which the tRNAs corresponding amino acid is attached (by aminoacyl-tRNA synthetases). tRNAs cope with the degeneracy of the genetic code in two manners: having more than one tRNA (with a specific anti-codon) for a particular amino acid; and 'wobble' base-pairing, i.e. permitting non-standard base-pairing at the 3rd anti-codon position. The record is from Rfam by way of RNAcentral. RNAcentral also lists the same sequence under 1 other name. Lineage: Eukaryota; Metazoa; Chordata; Mammalia; Rodentia; Sciuridae.